This 466-nucleotide ribosomal RNA is filed under the name uncultured bacterium. RNAcentral's name for it is "partial 16S ribosomal RNA". It matches the Rfam family "Bacterial small subunit ribosomal RNA", at positions 28 to 507 of the family's 1533-position model. The record is from RNAcentral.
GAUGAACGCUGGCGGCGUGCUUAACACAUGCAAGUCGAACGGAAAGGCUCCUGCUUGCAGGGGUACUCGAGUGGCGAACGGGUGAGUAACACGUGGGUGAUCUGCCCUGCACUUCGGGAUAAGCCUGGGAAACUGGGUCUAAUACCGGAUAGGACCAUCGUUUAGUGUCGGUGGUGGAAAGUUUUUUCGGUGUGGGAUGAGCUCGCGGCCUAUCAGCUUGUUGGUGGGGUAAUGGCCUACCAAGGCGUCGACGGGUAGCCGGCCUGAGAGGGUGUACGGCCACAUUGGGACUGAGAUACGGCCCAGACUCCUACGGGAGGCAGCAGUGGGGAAUAUUGCACAAUGGGCGCAAGCCUGAUGCAGCGACGCCGCGUGGGGGAUGACGGCCUUCGGGUUGUAAACUCCUUUCGCCAGGGACGAAGCGAAAGUGACGGUACCUGGAUAAGAAGCACCGGCUAACCACGUG